This 11480-nucleotide long non-coding RNA is filed under the name Nicotiana tabacum (common tobacco). RNAcentral describes it as "long non-coding RNA (NTAB_LNC001221)". The record is from RNAcentral. Lineage: Eukaryota; Viridiplantae; Streptophyta; Magnoliopsida; Solanales; Solanaceae.
AAAUAUUUUAUCCUUUUAAAGUGAAAAGCUAUCUUGAUUGUAUUUACUUUUUACCCUACAAGAUUAGUUUACACUAAGAUCCUUUCCUAAGCAAUCACAAUAAAGAUAAGAAGACUUAAUAACAAUGUUAGUUUCAUUAUACAAUAUCCAAAGAAAUGGGCUAACAUCGGCAAUAAUAUAAAGUAAGGCGGGGGACUAGACUCUUAUAAUGGGCUGGCAAGCAUCAGGCCCAUUUAAAUCAACUAGCAAUAGGUUUCAACAACAGUAAUGCGGCGAGGAGAGUGGUAGCCCGGUUCAUUGAACUUGGUCCAGAGUUCACAAUGAACUCCACUGGUCGAGUGUGCUCAUGCAAAAGGAGAAGAGGAUUAAUUAGUAUGUGCAUAUAGAAUGUAAAAGCAGAAACAUAAGAGAUGAAUAAAAUUAUAAUCUAAAGUAACAAAGCAAGUCAAAUAAUAUUUGUGAUAAACCUCUAGAUAUUAGUUUAAGUCAAUAUCCAUUGUCUAGAUUGGACCACGCUCCCCUCUCAAGGUUUUUCUUUGACUCCUGGCACUUUCUAGUUCACAAAAGGCCCACAAUAUUUAUUCCAGGGAGGGACUCCUUGUAGUAGAGUCAAAUCCACAGCAAAGGCCAAUAGUAACUAAUAUUUGUUCCUCCGUGAAGGUUUGAACACAAAUAUCAACUUUGAGCUUCAAACAAUAGUUUGACCAAAUAGACUCAAAGAAUUCUUACAAGUAAACUUCUAAAACAUUGAGAGUCUAGCACAGUGCCUCAAAUCAUCAAUAGAAAAUCACUUGUGACUGAGUACCAAGACAUUAGAAACUUGAAAUCUAAAUGAACCUAAACCAGCUUUAGGGCAGUUGUAAGGCUCCGUAAAAAUUUACAAAAGAAAAUAAUAUUUUGGGUUGAACAAUGCACUGGAAAGGAAAGAAAAAAUUUGGGCAGAAGAAAUGCACUUCUGCGGCCCACUAUGCGAUCGCGGAAUCACUCUGCGGACCGCAUAAUGGUCGCAGAGUGAGGCAGGGAAGGGCAAUUUUGGAGACCAGGUUUGCAGCGCAUUAUGCAACCACAGACCAAUUCUGCGGUGCAUUAUUCGACCGCAGAACAGGUCUGCGAGCCGCAUAAUUACCGCAGACCAGGUCAGUCACGCCCAGUUUUGGAGGCAAAACUAUGCGGACCGCAUAUCAAUUAUGCGAUCGCAGACCUUGUUCCGUAGCUUCAUUUUUGUAUUUUUAAAACCCGACCCUACUUCGUUAAAUACACGCUUUGGGCUAUUUUUGAGAUAAAAUCUGACACUUUUAAAGUUAGAGAGUGCCCUAGAGUGAGAAGGUGUUCUUCAACAGUUUGUUUUUCAAUUCUUGCUCGAAUCUUGGAAGAUUAACAAGGAAAAACUCCCUAGGUCUUCAUCCUAAAGGUAAUAUUCUACACCCUAACCCUCAAUUUCGAAUUUUAUCUAGAAUUUGGUUAUUAGCAAGAUAAUUUUGGGCUUGGGAGUUGUCCAUCUUACAUGUAUGUAUUAUCAAAGGGUGUAGGAAGAUUGUGAAGCUAAAAACGGUAAAUAAUGGGUUGUGGUAUGAUAGAAUCCUCUAUAAAAGGACCUUGAAACCUUAAUGCACACCUAGUGUUUUAUAAACUACUCAAAUGAGCUAGAAACAAGAUCAUCUUCCUAUUUUUUGAUCAAUUUGUUAUAUUUCUACAUUAGAUUAAAGUUUCAAAGAAUUACGGAACCUUUUAGAGUUUAAGGAAGUUCAACUGAGGUAUGUUGACUAAACCUUUCUCUUAGAAUUGAAUCCCACGAUAUUCAUGUAAUCUAUGUAAGUCCCGAGUGGUUCAUUAUGAAAUUGGCUAUUCCUAGUAAGAUUGUGUUAAAAGUUAUAUGUUUAAUAAGUACCCCAAAUACCUUAUUUAUGGUACGUUAUCAAUUGAGGAUGUGAUAAUAAUAUUAGCUGGACAUUAAAAAUGUUCGACUUGAAGUCAAAUUCAAACGAAGGCUAUUAUGCCAAAUUUUGUGAAGAAUCUCUAUUUGCCUUAGACUCUUAAUUGCUCACAUGUGUACUACAUGCCUUUAUUUGGAUUGUUGUUUUUGUUAUUGAUGAUGUUGAUGUUAGAAAGUGAAAAGGUGAGCAUGGAAUACUAAAUGCGGCCAACGUGCCAAGAAUGAUUUUAUAAAUAUGGCCAUUAGUGCCAAUGAAAUGAAAAUAUGUGAAAGAACUAUGAAAUGCGAUGAUUGAUAUAAAAAGGUUGAUGUCUCGAAUAAGACAGCCUAGACGAUCAGGUCGUGAUCGGACACCAUGACGCACACAUGGUGAUGAUUGUGCUUGAAAUUCUGAUUUGUGGUCGAUGUCUCCAAUGAGAUAGCCUAGCCGAUCGGGUCGUCAUCAGAUUCCGUGUUAAAGGUACGAUGGUAUUGAUAUUGAGGGUGAUUGUGGUUGAUGUCUCGAAUGAGAUAGCCUAGCCGAUCGGGUCGUGAUGGGACUCCGUGCUAAGAGUACAAUGUUAUUGGUUUUGUGAAUAAUGGUAUUGUGAACGAUGAUAUAUUUGUACUAAGAAUCUCCAACUUAAAAAAAUAUGGAAAUUAAUUUGAAUACAGUCUUGAUCCUAAGUUGAGGUUUGAUGCUUUUUAAGGCUUCCAUUGAUAUUAUGAUAUUCUUAUUUGUUUUAUUUAUCAUUCUAUUCAGAGGGUGUUUUGUCAUUCAUACUAGUACUAUUCCAUAUGUACUAAUGUCCCUUUUUCCGAUGGUGCUGCAUCUUCAAUGGAUGCAGGUGGUUCCACAUCUAGUGAUAUUGAUCAGUGAUAGCGGUACAUCCUCUUCCCAGCUGACUUGGUGAGCCCCACUUCAUUUCGGGGUUAUGUAUCUUUUGUUCGUCGCGUAUUGUGUUUGAGGUAUAGCCGGGCCUUGUUGCCGACAUUAUCAUAGUACUCUUUUGUAUAUAUCAAAGGCUCCGUAGACUGUGAGUUGUGUACUGGUGUUGGGAAAGUCAAACUAUAUGGUGUUGUGGUUGUAUUACUUGUUCUAUUUAAGAAUUUAAAAUAAUGGAACUAUUGGUAAUAAAUUGGUAUUGUAGACAUGAGCAUCUUAUUGUCUAAUUAACAAAAAUGUGCAUCCUAUUUAUUAAUGGAUGAGUUUGCUCGGCCGGGUUCACUCGGUUGAGCGUCGGUCGCGCUCUAUAGUUUUGAGGCGUGACAAACUUGGCAUCGGAGCCUAAUGUUUUAAAGUGUCCUAGGAUAUCUUGGAGCCGUGUCUAGUAGAGUCUUUCUUAUCGGUAUGUUGUCGACCACAUCUAUAAUUAGGAUGAUACUUGGGGAUUUACGAAUAAUACCCUUCUUUCAUUUUCUUGAUCGUGCGAUAAACCUGGAUGUAAGAUUGUUCCUAUUUUAACUCGAGCUUUACUUUAACUUUCUAUAUAUUGCACCUAAGAAGAAGGCAAGAAUUGGCCAAAGAGCCAAUGUCACCCUAGGAGUAACAGUUGAUUCUAUAUAUGGUGAUGCGGGUGAGAAGCCAAGGAGUGAGAAUAUUCCUCCAGUUACUACACUACAUGAUUCUACUACAAGUGAUCAGACCGCACCUAUCCCUACACCUACUAAGGGUACAACGGUCCCUCUAACUGAUAUACCAAUUCCACCUCCAGUUCCAGCUUCUGAUUCUGGUGUUUCUGAUGUUGAUCUUCCAGGAGCCAUACAUAUGUUGUCUCUGAUAGUGGCUGCCCAAGCCUAGAGAUCAAAUGUUACACCUACUUCUUCCAGUCAACCAGGGGAUUCUACUAGUUCAAGGGUGAACAAGUUUCUCCAGUUGGAUCCUCCAAUGUUCGCGGGUACUAACCCAGAGGAGGAUCCAUAGGACUUCAUUGAUGAGACGCACAAGACUCUCUGAGUUAUGCAUGCUAUUGAGAUAGAUGAAUUGGAAUUAUCCUCCUACUACCUUAAAGAGGUGGCAUAUUCUUGGUUUGAACUAUGGGUGGAGUCCCGUGAAGAAGGGAACCCUCCGACGAGGUGGGGUGAGUUUGCCAAUGCAUUCAUUGAUCAUUUAUUUCCUACCAAGACUAAGGCAACAUGUGCUGCUGUGUUUGAGAACCUGAGGCACGAUUGCCUGAGUGUGUGGGAUUACCACAUAAGAUUCCGGUACCUAUCCAAGUAUGCUAUUUACAUGUUUCCUACUAUGGAGGCUAGAGUGCGACGAUUUGUUCACAGCCUUAGUCCCUUAGUAAUUAAUGAGGCCACUACAACUGCCUUGAAUUAUAAUAUGAACUAUGGAAAGAUGGUGGCAUUCGCUCAAGCCACCGAGAUCUGCAAAUUGAGGAACAUAAUGGAGACAGAGUGUAGUAAUCAGGCCUGGUUUGCGGGAAACUUUGGUGGUUCUUCUGGUGGCGGAAGGUCAGCCUUUAGGGGAGGGUCAUCAGCGCCAUCACAGUACCUUGCUCAGUCUUAGGCUAGUGCACUUCCAUAAGGGCCCAGUCAACAGCAGGGUCAUCAUGGUGGUAGUUUCCAGCAGCAGAGGAGGCCCUCGUGCCCUAGGAAUAGAAAGAUGCACCUAGUAAUAUUCUACAUGGACUUACCCAUAUGCUACAUAUGCAGAUUGAGGGGUCACAUUCAUAGGAAUUAUCGUUCGUCCCGCCAUGGGGCAGGCAGGGGCACUGCACAUCCAGCCAGUUCUGCAGCUACUACAUCCGUAAUACCUCCUCCAACUCAAGGCACUCAAAUACCUGCUGGGCUUGGUGGAGCUAGGGGUGGGGCACAAAGUUGGGGAGGAUCUGACCAUUUCUUUGCUAUAAGGGGUCGCCAGAAUUCAGAGGCUUCUCCAGAUGUGGUGAUAGGUAUAUUGACUGUCCAAUCUCAGAUGUGUAUGAUCUUAUUGAUCUAGGUUAUACUUUUUCAUAUGUCACACCUUAUGUUACUAUGGAAUUUGGGAUAGAACAGGAACAACUUCAAGAGUCAUUAUAUGCAUCUACUCCGGUUGGUGAGUUUAAUUUGGCCGCACAAGUUUAUAGGGAUUGUAUUAUCACGUUGCGUUGUCGGGACACCGUAGUUGAUCUUAUUGAAUUGAGAAUGGUCUAUUUUUAUGUGAUAAUGGGAAUGGAUUGGAUUUAUUCAUGUUUGACCAAACUUGAUUUCCGAAACAAAACUGUUAGGUUCAAAUUUCCAAAUGAGCCAGUUAUUGAAUGGAAGGGUGAUGAUGUAGUGUUGAAGGGUAGGUUUAUUUCUUACCUUAAGGCCACGAAAAGGAUCAACAAGGGGUGUAUUUACCAUUUGGUUUGGGUUUUGGACACCGAUUUUGAGGCACCUACACUUAAGUCAGUUCUUAUUGUGAAUGAAUUUUUGCAAGUCUUUCCGGAUAAACUCCAUGAAAUCCCACCUGACAGUGAGAUUGAUUUUGGGAUUGACGUGAUGCCAGACAUGCAUCCUAUAUCUAUUCCACCCUACCGAAUGGCACCAUUAAAAUUUAAGGAGCUAAAUGAACAAUUAAGAGACUUGUUAGAAAAGGGUUUCAUCCGACCGAGUGUGUCACCUUGGGGCGCACUGAUGAUUUCUGUAAGGAAGAAAGAUUUGUCACUGAGAAUGUGUAUUGGUUAUCAAUAACUUAAGAAGGUCACAAUCAAGAAUAAGUACUCACUGCCAAGGAUAAAUGACUUGUUUGACCAAUUACAAGGUGAUAAGUACUUGUCCAAAAUUGAUUUACGAUCCAGAUAUCAUCAAUUGAAGACCAGAGAGACACAUGUUCCGAAAAUGGCUUUUAGAACCAGGUAUGGGCAUUUUGAAUUUUUGGUGAUGUCUUUUGGGCUAACAAAUGCCCCAGUGGCAUUUAUGGAUCUUAUGAAUCGGGUAUUCAAACCUUUCCUCAACUCCUUCAUGAUAGUGUUCAUUGAUGAUAUUCUUGUUUGUUCGCGGAGUCAAGAGGACCAUGCCGAUCAUAUCAUGGUAGUUUUGUAGACUCUGUAUCAGCAGUUUUGAAAUGUGAAUUUUGGCUUGAAUUUGUUAUAUUAUUGGGUCAUGUUGUCUUUAGAGAAGGAAUUAUUGUUGUUCCUCAAAAUAUUGCAGUUGUGAAGAAUUGGCCGAGGCUUACAACUCCAACAGAGAUUCGCAGUUUCUUAGGCUUAGCUGGGUAUUACAGAAAAUUUAUGGAGGGUUUUUCUAUCCUUACCUCUCCGUUGACUAAAUUGACGCAGAAGGUAAUUAAGUUCCAAUGGUCAGAUGCUUGUGAAAGGAGCUUCGAGGAGUUGAAAUUGAGAUUGACUAUGGCACCAGUGUUGGAUCUACUAGACGAUAUUGAUGGAUUUGUAGUAAAUUGUGAUGCUUCGAGAAUCAGACUUGGGUGUGUAUUAUUGCAACACGACAAGGUGAUAGCUUAUGCUUCCAGGCAACUCAAGAAUCAUGAAAAGAACUAUCCAGCACAUGACUUAGAACUUGUGGCGGUAGUAUUUGUAUUGAAAAUUUUGCUUCAUUAUUUAUAGGGGGUCCAUGUGGAUAUAUUCACGGACCAUAAGAUCCUUCAAUAUAUUGUCAAGCAGAAGGAAUUGAAUUUGAGGCAAUGAAUAUGGCUUGAGUUACAUAAGGACUAUGACAUUGAUAUUCUAUAUCAUCCGAGGAAGGCUAAUGUUGUGGCAGAUACUCUUAGCUAGAAUUCUAUGGGUAGUUUAGCACACUUGGAGGUAUAUCAACGGUCAUUGGCCGAGGAAGUUUACCGAUUGGAUAGUUUGGGGGUUAGUCUUGCGGACUCUAGUGAAGGAGGGGUAAUUGUGCAAAAUAGGGCUGAAUCAUCGCUUGUUGUGGAAGUCAAAGAGAAGAAAUACAACGAUCCAUUAUUGGUGCAAUUGAAAGAGGUGAUUCAUAAACAUAAGACCAUGGCCUUUUCUCUUGGCAUGGGUCAUGGUACACUAAGAUACCAAGGGAGUCUAUGUGUUCCAAAUAUAGAUGGUCUCCGAGAGAAAAUCAUGAUAGAGGCUCACACUUCUAGGUAUUCUAUGCAUCCGGGUUCUACAAAUAUGUAUCAUGAUCUUAAAGAAGUCUAUUGGUGGAAUGAUAUGAANNNNNNNNNNNNNNNNNNNNNNNNNAAGAAGAUGAUUGUGUGUUCUUGAAUGUUUUACCCAUGAAAGAUAUAAUGUGAUUUGGUAAGAAAGGGAAAUUGAGUCCGAGGUAUGCCAGGCCGUACAGAAUCAUUCAGAGGAUCGGUGAGGUAGUGUACAAGCUUGAGCUACCACCGGAUAUAUCAUUGGUACACCCGGUGUUUCAUGUGUCUAUGUUGAAGAAAGUAAUUGGAGUCCCAACACUCAUUGUUCCGGUUGAGACUAUGGAUAUUAAUGAGGAAUUAACUUAUGAAGCGAUUCGAGUUUAUAUUAUUGAUAGGCAAGUCCAUAAGUUGAGAAAUAAGGAAAUUACCUCGGUGAAUGUGAUAUGGAGAAACCACCAAGUUGAAAAGGCUACUUGGGAGGCCGAGGAAGAAAUGAAGAAAAAGUAUACUUAUUUGUUUGAAUAGACAUGUAUUUAUAAUCUUGUGAUCUAUGAAAAUUCUAAGAGUUACUUUCUAUGAAUUAUGUAUCAUUUGUACAAAUUGACGUUAAGGGUGUUCCUUUUUGGUAAUAUAUUGCUUGUGAGGCCACAAUUGGUGUUGUUUUGUGUUAUGUUACAUCGUUGGAUUCUGUAUAUGUUGUUAGGAUGUGUUUUGGGAUUAUUUGACAUGUGGAUAGGCCCAGUUACAGGGGAGACUCUAGCGAAUGUUUUGGAAAUUUAGGGAGUUAGCCAAAUUUUGAAACUACUGGUGAGCGUGAAUUAACAGUUAGGCCACAUUUGAUGCUAAUAAUAGAUUGUGACCCUCAUUCGAUGACAAAUGAUCCUAAGUGGGGGAGAAUGUAAGGCCCCGUAAAAAUUUGAAAAAGAAAAUAAUAUUUUAUGGGGCUGGACUAGGCUUACGUGUUUGAGGAUUGUAGAGGAAAAAUGCACUGGAAAGUAAAGGAAAUAUUUGGGCAGAAGAAAUGCACUUCUGCAUGCGGCAGUGAUGGGCAAUUAUGAGACCAGGUUUGCAGUGCAUUAUGCGACUGCACACCAAUUCUGCGGUGCAUUAUGCGACUGCAGAACAGGUCUGCGGACCACAUAAUGACCGCAGACCAGGUCAGUCAUGCCUAGUUUUGGAUGCCAAAUUAUGCGGCCGAUAGGCGAACCGCAUAUCAAUAUUGCGAUCCCAUAUGCGAUCACAAACCUUGUUCCGUAGCUUCAUUUUUGUAUUUUUAAAACCCGACCCUACUUCGUUAAAUACACGCUUUGGGCUAUUUUUGAGAAAAAAUCUGACACUUUUAAAGUUAGAGAGUGCCCUAGAGUGAGAAGGUGUUCUUCAACAGUUUGUUUUUCAAUUCUUGCUCGAAUCUUGGAAGAUUAACAAGGAAAAACUCCCUAGGUCUUCAUCCUAAAGGUAAUAUUCUACACCCUAACCCUCAAUUUCGAAUUUUGUCUAGAAUUUGGUUAUUAGCAAGAUAAUUUUGGGCUUGGGAGUUGUCCAUCUUACAUGUAUGUAUUAUCAAAGGGUGUAGGAAGAUUGUGAAGCUAAAAACGGUAAACAAUGGGUUGUGGUAUGAUAGAAUCCUCUAUAAAAGGACCUUGAAACCUUAAUGCACACCUAGUGUUUUAUAAACUACUCAAAUGAGCUAGAAACAAGAUCAUCUUCCUAUUUUUUGAUCAAUUUGUUAUAUUUCUACAUUAGAUUAAAGUUUCAAAGAAUUACGGAACCUUUUAGAGUUUAAGGAAGUUCAACUGAGGUAUGUUGACUAAACCUUUCUCUUAGAAUUGAAUCCCACGAUAUUCAUGUAAUCUAUGUAAGUCCCGAGUGGUUCAUUAUGAAAUUGGCUAUUCCUAGUAAGAUUGUGUUAAAAGUUAUAUGUUUAAUAAGUACCCCAAAUACCUUAUUUAUGGUACGUUAUCAAUUGAGGAUAUGAUAAUAAUAUUAGCUGGACAUUAAAAAUGUUCGACUUGAAGUCAAAUUCAAACGAAGGCUAUUAUGCCAAAUUUUGUGAAGAAUCUCUAUUUGCCUUAGACUCUUAAUUGCUCACAUGUGUACUACAUGCCUUUAUUUGGAUUGUUGUUUUUGUUAUUGAUGAUGUUGAUGUUAGAAAGUGAAAAGGUGAGCAUGGAAUACUAAAUGCGGCCAACGUGCCAUGAAUGAUUUUAUAAAUAUGGCCAUUAGUGCCAAUGAAAUGAAAAUAUGUGAAAGAACUAUGAAAUGCGAUGAUUGAUAUAAAAAGGUUGAUGUCUCGAAUAAGACAGCCUAGCCGAUCAGGUCGUGAUCGAAUACCAUGCCGCACACAUGGUGGUGAUUGUCUUGAAAUUAUGAUUUGUGGUCGUGUAUCCAAUGAGAUAGCCUAGCCUAGUCAAUCGGAUCGUGAUCAGAUUCCAUGUUAAAUGUAUGGUGCUAUUGAUAUUGAGGGUGAUUGUGGUUGAUGUCUUUAAUGCUAUAUCCUAGUCGAUCGGAUCAUGAUCGGACUCCGUGCUUUGAGUACAGUGGUAUUGUUAUUGUGAAUAAUUGUAUUUGAACGAUGGUAUAUCAAUAAUAAGAAUCUUCAACUUAAAAAUAUGGAAAUUAAUUUGAAUACUAUCUUGAUCCUAAAAUUGAGGUUUGAUGUUGUUUAAGGCUUCGAUUGAUAUUAUGAUAUUCUUGUUUGUUUUAUUUAUCAUUCUAUUGAGAGGGUAUUUUGUCAGUCAUACUAGUACUAUUCCAUAUGUACUAACGUCCUUUUUGAAGGGGCAGCUGCCUCUUCAAUAGAUGCAGGUGGUUCCACAGCAGGAGAUAUUGAUUAGUGCUAGUGGUACGUCCUCUUCCCAGCUGAGUUGGUGAGCCCCACUUCAUUUCGGGAUUAUGUAUCUUUUGUUCCCCACGUAUUGUUUUUGAGGUAUAGCCGAGGCCUUGUUGCCGCCAUUAUCAUAGUACUCUUUUGUAUCUAUUAGAGACCCCAUAGACAUAGUGUGAGUUGUGUAUUGGUGUUGGAAAAGUCAAACUAUGUGGUGUUGUGGUUGUAUUACUUGGUCUAUUUAAGAAUUUAAAAUGAUGGAACUAUUGGUAAUAAAUUGGUAUUGUAGACAUGAACAUCUUAUUGUCUAAUUAACAAAAAUGUGUAUCCUAUUUAUUCAUGGAUGAGUUUGGAUAGAAGAAAAUCUAAUAGGCUUGGUCUGUCGGGUUCACGCGGUUGAUCGCCGGUCGCGCUCCCCGAUUUUGGCGCGUGAUAGCAGUCACUUAGAAAGCUAAAAAAUACAUAAAUCAGAAGAAUGAUAAAACUUCACAGCAUAUCCAGUAGUCUAGGCUAAGUAUUGUAAAGCUUACAAUUAGUUUCACAUGAAUCAUGCUACGGAGAAUAAGGAAAUGCUAAUAGAACAAGACAUGGUGAACUUCAUCAGAUUGUUUUUCACUUAAACAAAUAAAACCUUAUAGGUAUAGUAUCUAUAGAAACAAGACAAUCUUGUGACAAUAUGGAAUACCAUAUAUAGCUAAUAUAAACAAAGCAAACAAGUGAGUUUAAAUCAACAGAGGUUUAACAAAAACAGAACAAGACUAGUGUUAACGUCAUGAACUAUAACAUUGUAAGUAGACAAAUCUCAUAACAUGCUUCAUAUCCUAUUCAUGAUACAAGGUAUGAAAACACGAAUGUCAACAUGAACUUUCAUCAGUAUAUAUCCAAAUGGUCGAGUAUUAAAAAACACUAUCAGUGUCACACACUCAAAUUCAGACAUUGAGCUGAACGAAAAGGAAUUAAAAUAACCAUCCUUAGGACAACUUACCAGUUUUUUAUUUUUCCGUUAAGGAUUUGUACCCGGAGUCAGCUCAAGAACAAUUAGCCUCGAUUAGAAAUUAAAGAAAAAAAGGAUGGAAAGAUUGUGAGCGGAUAGAAAUUUUAAUUUUCUCGUGUAGUGAAUUUACUCUAUUGAUUUGUGUGUUUGUUAAGGGCAUUAAAGCUUGGUAUUUAUAGCCAAGUAAUUAGUGUUUUAGGGUUUGAGAUUUUGAACUUUUAUGACUAAUUAGUGACGAACUUUGACGAAACAUUUCAUGACGAAAUCUUCAGAAUAAAAUGAAUAAUCAGAGGGAAUAAUAUGUGAAGAUUUUACCCUCUAAAGAUGAUGAAGAACUAGCCGUUUGAAGUCGUUUAACCUCCGUACAAAAAUUUUCCUAGAGGUCCUUGCGUUUGACCUCCAUACCAUCAGAUGUCAUACAGAGGUCAUGAGAUUCCUCCGAAUCUUCUUGAAUCGAAGAUGCAUGCAAGGUUUUAUUGAGGGAUCAGGCGUGAAUGAAAGUUUGAUGAUGAGAUUCUUAGGGUUUAUUUUUUGGGGAUAGUGUUUAGGUGUUUGGAAUUUGAAGGGAGAUGAUAGAAAGGGGAAUGUUUUGGUAGUGAUCUCAUAGUGACCUUGCACGGAUUUAUGCUAGGGUUCAGGUAUUUCCAGAGGUGUGAGAGGAUGAGAGAGAUGAGAGAAAAAGGUUAAGGGGCGGCUGGUAUGGUGGAUAUAAUGAUUAGGG